This 1514-nucleotide long non-coding RNA is filed under the name Monomorium pharaonis (pharaoh ant). RNAcentral's name for it is "uncharacterized LOC114255674, transcript variant X1". The record is from RNAcentral. Lineage: Eukaryota; Metazoa; Arthropoda; Insecta; Hymenoptera; Formicidae.
CUAAUCUGUCAAGAGAGAACAGUGCAACAAUUAAAAAAAUUAUGGACUAAUUUGAAGCAAACUCAAAGGGAAGUUUUAACUAAAAAAAAGCAAUCACGCGACUAGCAACUAGUGGAAGACCAGAAGAUAUAGAGGCAAGUGUGGACCCCGAUAUUCUUAAUAUUGCACCGCAUCUUAUGGAAAAUGCACCAGUGCUGUUCUCAUCAAACAUGACAGAAACUGAAAUUAAAGAAAAACGCGAGUUGGUAUUUAACAUAUCUGCAAAUGAAAAUGUAGAUAUUGUUGCGAACGUGAGCUUCGCGAGCGUGAGCUUUGCGCGCGUUGUGAGCGCAAGCUUAACGCGAAAAAUCAAUAUAUCGAUUGCUUCAGUCAGCUGAGUCUAUCGGCCCCGGCGUUGCUUAAUUAUGUAUAAACAAAUGGUUUUGUUUAGAACUUCCUGAGACGUCAACUCGUGCGGACGUGCUUGGAAUAGUUGUAAUCGUGUUCGCAGCUUUUAAUAAAGUUUCUCGUUUGCCAAAAGCGUGUUUUUAUUCCGCCGCGCUCGCGAGCGGAAGAGUGUGUGUUGGUGGAAAUGCGAGAGUGCUUCGGGAAGCGCAACAAUAUGUUAAACUGUUUGGCAAAUGAUGACAACGAUAUAAUUGUUGAUUUACAAGAUAAACACAAGUUUGCAGAUAUAAUAUCUACUAAUGAAAAUUUAAAAAGAGUAGUGCAAACGAGCAUUUGAUUAAUGAUGAGAGCGAUAUAAAAAUUGCUGAUUUACAAGAUACACCAACUUUGAAAACAUCAGAAACAGUCUACUCCAGAUUUACAACGAAAAAAGAGGAAAUGCAUAAAGCAAGACUUAUCGGAUACAGAAGAAAACUUAAGAAUUCAACGUAUUAAACUAGUGAUGGAGCAAGAGCAGCAUUUAGCGAUUGCCAAGUUAAGACAUAAAGAAAAUAUGGUCAAAAUUAAAGAAAAUCAUUUAAAACAAUUAAAUGAAAUUGAAAUACAUCAUAAAAACGAUAUAAAUAAAUUAGAAACAGAAAUUAAUCAAACUAAACUGAUAAUUUUAGAAAAACAAUAUUUAAACAAAGAAAAUAUUAAUUUAAGAUUGUAAGAUAUGAUAAGAGAUGCAUGUCGAUAAAAUUCAGCAAGAAUUAUACAUGUUGGAUACAUGGAUAUAUUUUUUUACAUUUUUAUGGUGUAUUUCAAUUUUAUUCAAUUGUUUUAAAUGAUGUAAUAAAAUAUAUAUGUUGGCAUAAAUAAAAGCAAAACUAAGUUUUGUGUGAUGUUAUCGUGCAAUGUUUUAUUUCAUAAAAAAAUUGAUUUUAAACAAUAUAACAUAAUACUUUAAAUAUAUAUAAACUAUGUUUCUAAUGAUAUUCUAUAAUUAAUGUUAACUUCAAUGAUGUUUCUAUUAUUUAUGUCCCAAUAAAUACGUUUUAUAAGUAACAAUUUGUCGCAAAAUUAACACAUUAUUUUUAUGAAAUAUGUAGCAAGUAUUGAAACAAAUAAAAGAAAUGUAAUAUGAA